UGAACGCUGGCGGCGUGCUUACACAUGCAAGUUGAAUGGGAACCAUUCGUUCCACUUCGGUGGAAAGGGAUGGGGGAGAAUAGCGAACGAGUGAGUAACACGUAGCGACCUACCCUGUAGCGGGGGAUAACCACUGGAAACGGUGGCUAAUACCGCAUAGACUCGAAAGAGGAAAGUGCCCACGGGCAUACUACAGGAGGGGGCUGCGGGCCAUCAGGUAGUUGGUGAGGUAGAGGCUCACCAAGCCAACGACGGCUAUCUGACGUGAGAGCGUGGUCAGACACGAGGACACUGAGACACGGGUCCUACUCCUACGGGAGGCAGCAGUGGGGAAUCUUGGACAAUGGGGGCAACCCUGAUCCAGCGACGCCGCGUGAACGACGACGUCCUUCGGGAUGUAAAGUUCUUUUUACAGGGGAGAAAGUACACCUCAGGGAAUGGGGGUGUAUUGACGGUACCCGUAGAAUAAGCCCCGGCUAACUACGUGCCAGCAGCCGCGGUAAGACGUAGGGGGCAAGCGUUACCCGGAAUCACUGGGCGUAAAGGGGGCGUAGGCGGUCUAAAGGGUCAUAUGUUAAAAGAUACGGCUUAACCGUAGAGAUGCGUAUGAAACCGUUAGACUUGAGGGUAGCAGAGGAAAAGGGAAUUACCACUGUAGGGGUGAAAUCCGUAGAGAGUGGUAAGAAUGCCGGUGGCGAAGGCGCUUUUCUGGGUUACACCUGACGCUGAGGCCCGAAAGCCAGGGGAGCGAACCGGAUUAGAUACCCGGGUAGUCCUGGCCGUAAACGAUGCUCACUAGGUGUAGUAGGUCGACAGGCCUGCUGUGCUGAAGCAAACGCGAUAAGUGAGCCGCCUGGGGAGUACGUCCGCAAGGAUGAAACUCAAAGGGAUUGACGGGGGCCCGCACAAGCGGUGGAGCGUGUGGUUCAAUUCGAAGCUAAGCGAAGAACCUCACCAGGUCUUGACAUAUAAGUGGUAGUGAAGGGAAACCGGAACGACUCUGGCAUUGCCAGAGAGCUUAUACAGGUGGUGCAUGGUCGUCGUCAGCUCGUGCCGUGAGGUGUUGGGUUAAGUCCCGCAACGAGCGCAACCCCUGUUAUUAGUUGCCAGCACGAAGGUGGGCACUCUAAUAAGACUGCCGUCGAAGAGACGGAGGAAGGAGGGGACGACGUCAGAUCAUCAUGCCCCUUAUGAUCUGGGCUACACACGCGCUACAAUGGGUUAGUCAACGGGCGAAGCCGCGAGGCGGAGGGAAUCCUGAAACUAACCCCCAGUUCAGAUUGCAGGCUGCAACCCGCCUGCAUGAAGAUGGAAUCGCUAGUAAUCGCAGAUCAGAACGCUGCGGUGAUACGUUCCCGGGCCUUGUACACACCGCCCGUCACACCAACCGAGUUGG
Molecule: ribosomal RNA, 1396 nt
Filed under: uncultured organism
Description: bacterial SSU rRNA
Rfam family: Bacterial small subunit ribosomal RNA
Source: RNAcentral